Molecule: long non-coding RNA, 2027 nt
Filed under: Aotus nancymaae (Ma's night monkey)
Lineage: Eukaryota; Metazoa; Chordata; Mammalia; Primates; Aotidae
Description: lncRNA (ENSANAG00000039510.1)
Source: RNAcentral
CCCGUGUGUACUCCUGCGUCUUGGCUUGUCACAAUGAGUAUGUGUUACUUUUUUAAUCUGAGGGAGAAAAGGAAAAAAUGGCUCCUCAGUGUGGCUGGUGCUGGCUGCAUCUCUGGUGCCCUGGGGGAGUUUGGAGCGUUUUCUGGAUUCUGUCCGAGGCCUUUGAGGUGCGUUGGCUUAGCUGCGAAAAGAGACACAUUCGUUCUCCGAGAAGCCUGCUCCGCUGACGGCUGGGUGAUGUGCCGUUUUUCUCCUGUUGGACGCGCCGUGGGCCGGAACACCGACUUUGUGCUUCCUCCUUUUUUUUUCUCUCUGAAGUCUAAGUUUGGGAGCUCAGGAUCCAAAAACGAUGACACUGGGACAUUCCAUUCGGAAGGCACGCUUUGUCCACUCGGCCACUUGCAGUGGGGAAUGGUUUUGAGCAGGGGUGUGAUGUGACCGGCAGACCCCUGUGUGGAGACCGAGGUGGCUUCCGGAGGCUGGUGGCUGGGAGAGCAGGGAGGAGGCUGCUGCAGUGGUCUGAGCACCAGUGACGGGACGGCGUGGAUGGCCACUGUGGGAUACAGAGGACAAGGGGCACAUGCGAGACUCCUAGGCCGGAAGAUGAUGCGGCCACCAGCCCCUGCCUGUCUUUGCUCUCUUCUCUUUCUGCCAUAAAUAAAAAUAGCUGUGGGCUGUCACCUUGCCUUCUGCCUUUGUCUGUCAUCCCUCCCUCUGCGUGCUGAGGAUAAUUCUGACUUUUCCUUCACCUGCUCGCUGACACCUUGUCACUCUCUCCUCCCACCUUCAAAUAUGCUCGGAUCCCGUUUUUAUCAUGUAACACACGGGUUUGUCCUUGGGACCCAGUUUCCUAUCUUUCCACCAGGGAUCUUGAGUUUCCUCGGGACGGAGACCUUGUACAACUCUGGACGUUUUCCCAUCUCCCAUGUCAGACGGGCUGUGCCAACCACACCUUUGAUCGAGUAAUCACAGGGAGAAUGAUUAAUGUCUGUGGAGCGUCUUCCUGAGGGCUUGGGUCUCGGUGGCUGCCGGUACCCUCCAUUUCCUUGAAGAAACGAGGAAGCUUUGCCCGGAGAGGUCACGUGGUUCCCCCGUCACACAGCUGGUACGCAGUGGAGGCAGAGCCUGAACUCAGAGCCCUGUUCUCUAAAUCCCGACCUGUCUGCCCUGGGCAGGUGUUUCCAGGUGUGGGCUGAACCAGAUGACGUGUUUCAAGGGGCCCGGCUGACACAGCGUUCACUGACAGCGAAUCACCCAAGAGGAUGAUUCUUCUCGUCCCACGUUUAGUCAUAUUGCAAGGGGACAUCUCAAGCUAGUAGGUCAGACAAACCUCAACAUUUUUUAUUGCGAUGAGAUGUAUGGAAAAUUAACCAUUUAAACUAUUUUGAAGUGUACAGUUACACAGUCCCUGUCCCAGGGACUCUCUUCCCCAGCCUCAACUGCCUUCUGGAAUCUGGCAAAUGUCUCCACCGUCUGUCACCAGAACCUCGUCUUCUUCUCACACUGAGCUUCUGACCCCAGUAGACGCGAAACCCCCUUCCGCAGCCCUGGCCUCUCUCUGCUUUCUGUCUCUGUGAGUUGGUCCAGUCCGGAGACGAACCGACCCUGCUGACGGGCUCAGAGCCUGGAGCAGGCCAGUGCCGAGAAUGGAACGAAGCAGUAUUGGUUUUGUUUUCAUUGUGUGGCUCCAUAACCCCUUAUCUUAAAACCCUUGAGAUUAGCGUGUUUCUUUUUUUCUUUUUUCCUUUUCUUGGAGACAGAAUCUCCCUCUGUUGCCCAGGCUGGAGUGCAGUGGCGCAGUCCUAGCUCACUGCAGUCUUGACCUCCCCGUCUUAAGUGAUCCUCCCACCUUAGCCUCCUGCGUAGCUGAGGCCACAGGCGUGUGCCCCCGCACCCGGCUGUUUUGCUUUUUUUUAAAAGCCAUGGCCUCCCUAUGUUGCCCAGGCUGGGUUUGAACUCCUGGGCUCAGAUGAUCCUUGCCGCUCUGUUUCUCUUUUUUUUUUUUGACUUCAGAAAGUGAACAUGAU